Molecule: ribosomal RNA, 469 nt
Filed under: uncultured bacterium
Lineage: Bacteria
Description: bacterial SSU rRNA
Rfam family: Bacterial small subunit ribosomal RNA
Source: RNAcentral
ACUCCUACGGGAGGCAGCAGUGAGGAAUAUUGGUCAAUGGGCGAAAGCCUGAACCAGCCAUGUCGCGUGCAGGACGACUGCCCUAUGGGGUUGUAAACUGCUUUUAUAUGGGAAGAAAUGCGAGUACGUGUACUUGUUUGCCGGUACCAUAUGAAUAAGCAUCGGCUAACUCCGUGCCAGCAGCCGCGGUAAUACGGAGGAUGCGAGCGUUAUCCGGAUUCAUUGGGUUUAAAGGGUGCGUAGGCGGAAGUGUAAGUCAGGGGUGAAAGUUUGCAGCUCAACUGUAAAAUUGCCUUUGAUACUGCAUUUCUUGAGUACAUUUGAGGUAGGCGGAAUGUGUUGUGUAGCGGUGAAAUGCUUAGAUAUAACACAGAACACCGAUUGCGAAGGCAGCUUACUAAACUGUAACUGACGCUGAUGCACGAAAGCGUGGGAUCGAACAGGAUUAGAUACCCCUGGUAGCACAGAG